GUCCACGCCGUAAACGUUGGGCACUAGGUGUGGGUUCCAACCAACGGAAUCCGCGCCGUCGCUAACGCAUUAAGUGCCCCGCCUGGGGAGUACGAUCGCAAGAUUAAAACUCAAAGGAAUUGACGGGGGCCCGCACAAGCAGCGGAGCGUGUUGCUUAAUUCGAUGCAACGCGAAGAACCUUACCUGGGCUUGACAUGUACGGAAAAGCCGUAGAGAUACGGUGUCCUUCGGGGCCGUACACAGGUGGUGCAUGGCUGUCGU
RNAcentral lists this ribosomal RNA (262 nucleotides) under uncultured bacterium. Its description in RNAcentral is "partial 16S ribosomal RNA". It matches the Rfam family "Bacterial small subunit ribosomal RNA", at positions 793 to 1055 of the family's 1533-position model. The record is from RNAcentral.